Molecule: long non-coding RNA, 640 nt
Filed under: Helianthus annuus (common sunflower)
Lineage: Eukaryota; Viridiplantae; Streptophyta; Magnoliopsida; Asterales; Asteraceae
Source: RNAcentral
GUUAGUGCGGUGAUGAAGCAUAUAUUGUGGACUAGAGUUUCUGAUAUUGGGCUCUUCUUCCCAUUUUAUUUUGACGACAAACCCUUGGCUGUCAGAGCACUAUACCUUUCAUCUAAUUCAUAAGUUUUUAAUACUCUGAGUUUAUUUAUUGUUUUUAAAAUUAGGUUAUAAGAGCUAAUGAUGAGAAAUACAAUUAUCUUAGCGGAUUUCAGUGAGAUUACUUACUUUUAAUUAAUGAUCUGAUUGUUACACACACUGAAGCUCUUAAUAAUUUCUUUUUAUUAAAUGGGAUGUUAAUAAUAAUUGUGGUGAUGAGGUAAAACACAUGAGGAUGUGUUUAGGGAAGUGGACAAGACGAUUAAAACCGUUUUGCCGUGAUCCCCAUUUUAAACGACUUCUCCUUCCACUGAGCUUUAUUUUUAUUUUCAUUCCAACUUUAUAACUAAAUUAAAUUUUUUUGUUUAAUUUGUUUUACAUAUAUAUGUAUAUAUUUGAAGAGAUAUGCUGCGUCCAUUUACCAAUUCUGGAGGAUAAGUUGGUUCCUCACGGUGUAAUGGCUCGGACGCCAUAUUAACAAUUGUGGCCAUCCUGAUCAAUGGGUUCUCGAUACCAUUGUAUCCUGGAAACACCUCAUACAUUU